CCCGCACACCUCAUUCUACCAUGUAUGUAAGUGUUGAGCCAGUGUAUGACAUAACCACGCUCCUGAUAUUCUACACCCUUAUUUUCUAUGGAUUACCAGAGGCUGGAUCAAGUGAAGAAAAUGUGGUGUAAAACCUCUCCACACCACAUCCCAAGCUUUCUUGGAAGAAUGCAAGAAAUAGUCCAUACGAUGCUAUACUUCUUAGUAGCCUGGCUCAGCGAAAGAUGUGGCUUGUGCAAGACCUCCCGAGCCCACCUCUUCGAUCUGCUUUCUUGGACCUUCCUUCUCAGGACCCUGUUACUGAAGAAGGACCUGUUAGUCCAGAUA
Molecule: long non-coding RNA, 327 nt
Organism: Mus musculus (house mouse)
Lineage: Eukaryota; Metazoa; Chordata; Mammalia; Rodentia; Muridae
Product: predicted gene, 36611
Exons: 3
Source: RefSeq, a predicted model, not a curated record